AGUAGCUACGUUCGGAAAGGAUAACCACUGAAAGCAUCUAAGUGGGAAGCCAACUUCAAGAUGAGAUUUCUCCAGUCGCAAGACUGAUAAGUGCCCUUGGAGACUACAAGGUUGAUAGGUUGCAGGUGUACGGACAGCAAUAUCUUUAGCCGAGCAAUACUAAUAGCACGAAUGGUAUUUAUAC
Candidatus Gracilibacteria bacterium CG1_02_38_174 is the source of this 184-nucleotide non-coding RNA. NCBI's taxonomy places the organism in Bacteria, Candidatus Altimarinota. The record is from Rfam.